UUAGACUGGUUAAGAUUUAAAUUACUACUUUUUGUAUUACGGUUUGAUGAGUUUUUUUACGUUUGUAAUUUUUUAAACGAUUUAAUAAUUUAAGAUCUAGAAAAAAAUAAUAAAAUUUAACAAAAAUUAUAAUUGAAUUUUUUUCUAUGAGAUAUUUGUGUCGGGUUUUAAUUUUUUUUGUUAGUUUUCCACCGAUUUUAAGAAUUAGUGGUUUCAGAUUAAGUACUUUGUUUUAUUUUAAAAUUUUUUUAAAUACUCCAUCUUUCAUAUAAAGAGUUUCAAUGUAAUAAUCUAAUGUUCUUUUAUUUUAAUUUAUUUAAAGUUGAUUUUUUUUUUUAAUAUAUUAAAAUUAGUAAAAAUUAUAUAUUCUUGUAUUCAGAAGUUUUCUCCACUGUUUAUUAAAAACAUUGUUUUUUUUAUAAAAAAUAUUGUCCCUGCUCACUGGUUUAACUAAAUAGCUGCAGUAUUUUGACUGUACAAAGGUAGCAUAAUUAUUUGUCCUUUAAUUGUGGAAUUGUUUGAAUGGGUUUAGGAAGAAGGUUGUUUUAAAAUUAUAUUUUUUUAAUUUUAUUUAGAAAUAAAAAUUUUUUCUAAAUAUUACUUUAAGACGAAAAGACCCUAAUGGAGUUUUUAAUUUUUAUUUUUUGAUGGGGCGUUAAUUUAUUUUUCAUAAGUUUUGACACUUGGAAAAUUUCCCUAGGGUUAACAGGAAAAUAAAAUUUUAGAGACCAUAUCGAAAAUUUUGUUUUUUACCUCGAUGUUGAAUUAAAUUUAGAAAAAGGUGCAGUAGUUUUUGUUCUUAGCCUGUUCGGCUAUUAAAAGUUUACAUGAUUUGAGUUUAAACCGGUGUAAACCAGGUUGGUUUUUAUCUAAAAUGUUGAUUAAGCAGUACGUAAGGAUUUUUAAUUGUUUUA
This 914-nucleotide ribosomal RNA is filed under the name Obrimoposthia wandeli. RNAcentral's name for it is "16S ribosomal RNA". Lineage: Eukaryota; Metazoa; Platyhelminthes; Tricladida; Uteriporidae. The record is from RNAcentral.